RNAcentral lists this ribosomal RNA (372 nucleotides) under uncultured organism. Its description in RNAcentral is "bacterial SSU rRNA". It matches the Rfam family "Bacterial small subunit ribosomal RNA", at positions 526 to 896 of the family's 1533-position model. The record is from RNAcentral.
CGGAAGGGGCAAGCGUUGUUCGGAAUCAUUGGGCGUAAAGGGCGCGUAGGUGGCUCUGUAUGUCUACCGUGAAAGCAUACAGCUCAACUGUAUUUUGUCGGUAGAAACUGCAGGACUUGAGGCUGGGAGGGGCUGGUGGAAUUCCCUGUGUAGCGGUGAAAUGCGUAGAGAUGGGGGAGAACACUCGUGGCGAAGGCGGCCAGCUAGACCAGUUCUGACACUGAGGCGCGACAGCGUGGGGAGCAAACAGGAUUAGAUACCCUGGUAGUCCACGCUGUAAACGAUGGGCACUAGGUGCCGGCGGUCUUGAUCCCGUCGGUGCCGGCGCUAACGCAGUAAGUGCCCCGCCUGGGGAGUACGGUCGCAAGGCUG